This 906-nucleotide ribosomal RNA is filed under the name Steinernema sp. KP. RNAcentral describes it as "eukaryotic LSU rRNA". It matches the Rfam family "Eukaryotic large subunit ribosomal RNA", at positions 78 to 984 of the family's 3401-position model. Lineage: Eukaryota; Metazoa; Nematoda; Chromadorea; Rhabditida; Steinernematidae. The record is from RNAcentral.
CCUUAGUAACGGCGAGUGAAAAGGAAAAAGCUCAGCGUCGAAACCAAGUUGGCUAACGUUGACUUGGUGCUGUGACGUAUAGAAGCGUUCAUGUGCGGUUUGUUGAUGGUGCGAAUUCUCUUUGACUAGGGAUCCAAAGAGGGUGCUAGACCCUUACGCAUUGUUGACUUUUCGUACGCGUUCGUUUCUUGGAGUAGGGUUGUUUUGGAUCGCAGCCCAAAGUAGGUGGUAUACUUCAUCUAAAGCUAAAUACGACUACGAAUCCGAUAGCAAACAAGUACCGUGAGGGAAAGUUGCAAAGUACUUUGAAGAGAGAGUUCAAGAGGACGUGAAACCGGUAGGGUGGAAGCAGAUAAAGUUGACGAACGUGUGUCGUAUUCAGAACUACAAUUUGUGGUUUGUUUUUACGAUCGAUGUGGGCUGGCGUCUUUGGUUAACUUAGUGUCUGGCGGCAAUGGUGACCCUGCGGAGGGAUAAUCGGUUGUCGUGCGAUGCUUGGUAUGGCUAGAGGUUCGCUGGUCUUAUAGUCAUCGCUUUAUCUGACCCGUCUUGAAACACGGACCAAGGAGUGUAGCGCUUACGCGAGUCUUAGAGUGUGUCAAAACUUUGAGGCGUAACGAAAGUAAAUGUGGAUUUAUUCACUGACUUGGGAUGCGUUGUCUUUUUUGGAUAGCGUUGGACCAUGGUUUUAUCGUAAUCGCUUGCGAUGCGGUGAAAAUAGAGCGUAAGCGGUGCGACCCGAAAGAUGGUGAACUAUGCCUGAGCAGGAUGAAGCCGGAGGAAACUCUGGUGGAAGUCCGAAGCGGUUCUGACGUGCAAAUCGAUCGUCUGACUUGGGUAUAGGGGCGAAAGACUAAUCGAACCAUCUGGUAGCUGGUUUCCUCUGAAGUUUCCUCAGGAUAGCUG